AUUGAACGCUGGCGGCAGGCCUAACACAUGCAAGUCGAGCGGAUGAAGGGAGCUUGCUCCUGGAUUCAGCGGCGGACGGGUGAGUAAUGCCUAGGAAUCUGCCUGGUAGUGGGGGAUAACGUCCGGAAACGGGCGCUAAUACCGCAUACGUCCUGAGGGAGAAAGUGGGGGAUCUUCGGACCUCACGCUAUCAGAUGAGCCUAGGUCGGAUUAGCUAGUUGGUGGGGUAAAGGCCUACCAAGGCGACGAUCCGUAACUGCUCUGAGAGGAUGAUCAGUCACACUGGAACUGAGACACGAUCCAGACUCCUACGGGAGGCAGCAGUGGGGAAUAUUGGACAAUGGGCGAAAGCCUGAUCCAGCCAUGCCGCGUGUGUGAAGAAGGUCUUCGGAUUGUAAAGCACUUUAAGUUGGGAGGAAGGGCAGUAAGUUAAUACCUUGCUGUUUUGACGUUACCAACAGAAUAAGCACCGGCUAACUUCGUG
RNAcentral lists this ribosomal RNA (484 nucleotides) under uncultured bacterium. Its description in RNAcentral is "partial 16S ribosomal RNA". It matches the Rfam family "Bacterial small subunit ribosomal RNA", at positions 30 to 507 of the family's 1533-position model. The record is from RNAcentral.